Molecule: transfer RNA, 71 nt
Filed under: Marmota monax (woodchuck)
Lineage: Eukaryota; Metazoa; Chordata; Mammalia; Rodentia; Sciuridae
Description: tRNA.Ala
Rfam family: tRNA (bases 6-66)
About the family: Transfer RNA (tRNA) molecules are approximately 80 nucleotides in length. Their secondary structure includes four short double-helical elements and three loops (D, anti-codon, and T loops).
Source: RNAcentral
GGGGUUGUGGCUCAGUGGUAGAGUGCUUGCCUAGCAUGCAUGAGAUGCUGGGUUUGAUCCUCAGCACUACA